This 456-nucleotide long non-coding RNA is filed under the name Pongo abelii (Sumatran orangutan). RNAcentral describes it as "lincRNA". Lineage: Eukaryota; Metazoa; Chordata; Mammalia; Primates; Hominidae. The record is from RNAcentral.
UGUUGAUGUUCAUGGGUGAUUGAUCAUCCUGUAGUGACGGUGGUAUUGACUGUUCCCCAAAGGACAAGGAGUGUGUUCUUACAAUGGACAUCAUGAUUGGGAUUGUCUUUAUUAAACUUUGUCAGGAGAGUAAAGAUGAAUGUGGCCGCGUGUUGUGGCUCAUGCCUGUAAUCCCAGCACUUUGGGAGGCCGAGGUGGGCGGAUCACCUGAAGUCGGGAGUUCGAGACCAGCCUGACCAACAUGGAGAAACCCCGUCUCUACUAAAAAUACAAAAUUAGCUGGGCAUGGUGGUGCAUGCCUGUAAUUCCAGCUACUCAGGAGGCUGAGGCAGGAGAAACGCUUGAACCCGAGAGGCGGAGGUUGCAGUGAGCUGAGAUUGUGCCGUUGCACUCCAGGCUGGGCAACAAGAGUGAAACUGCAUCUCAAAAGAAAAAAAUAAUAAUAAUAAAAUAAAA